CAAUAGCGUAUAUUUAAGUUGCUGCAGUUAAAAAGCUCGUAGUUGGAUUUCGGGUGGGAAUGGCCGGUCCGCCGUUUCGGUGUGCACUUGCUACGCCCACCUUGCUGCCGGGGACGUGCUCUUGAGUUCACGCUCGGGACACGGAGUCGGCGAGGUUACUUUGAGUAAAUUGGAGUGUUCAAAGCAGGCCUACGCUCUGAAUACAUUAGCAUGGAAUAACACGAUAGGACUCUGGCCUAUCUUGUUGGUCUGUAGGACCGGAGUAAUGAUUAAGAGGGACAGUCGGGGGCAUUCGUAUUUCAUUGUCAGAGGUGAAAUUCUUGGAUUUAUGAAAGACGAACUACUGCGAAAGCAUUUGCCAAGGAUGUUUUCAUUAA
Molecule: ribosomal RNA, 377 nt
Filed under: uncultured eukaryote
Lineage: Eukaryota
Description: partial 18S ribosomal RNA
Rfam family: Eukaryotic small subunit ribosomal RNA
Source: RNAcentral